Molecule: ribosomal RNA, 458 nt
Filed under: uncultured bacterium
Lineage: Bacteria
Description: partial 16S ribosomal RNA
Rfam family: Bacterial small subunit ribosomal RNA
Source: RNAcentral
CCUACGGGAGGCUGCAGUGAGGAAUAUUGGUCAAUGGGCGAGAGCCUGAACCAGCCAAGUCGCGUGAGGGAGUACUGCCCUAUGGGUUGUAAACCUCUUUUGUCGGGGAGCAAAAGCCGGACGUGUCCGGCUGUGAGAGUACCCGAAGAAAAAGCAUCGGCUAACUCCGUGCCAGCAGCCGCGGUAAUACGGAGGAGGCGAGCGUUAGCCGGAUUUAUUGGGUUUAAAGGGUGCUCAGGCGGAUUUUUAAGUCAGCGGUAAAAUCGUGGGGCUCAACCCCAUCCAGCCGUUGAAACUGGGGAUCUAGAGUGUGCGAGAGGUAUGCGGAAUGCGUGGUGUAGCGGUGAAAUGCAUAGAUAUCACGCAGAACCCCGAUUGCGAAGGCAGCAUACCGGUGCACAACUGACGCUCAGGCACGAAAGCGUGGGUAUCGAACAGGAUUAGAUACCCUGGUAGUC